RNAcentral lists this long non-coding RNA (2771 nucleotides) under Heterocephalus glaber (naked mole-rat). Its description in RNAcentral is "lncRNA (ENSHGLG00000048363.1)". The record is from RNAcentral. Lineage: Eukaryota; Metazoa; Chordata; Mammalia; Rodentia; Bathyergidae.
GGAGGGGAGCAGGGUAGAGCUUGGACACCUGCUGAUACCAAGUGUCACUGGAGCAGGACUGUAAAGGGAGCCACUAGGGUAUCUUUGCAAAAGAGAACAAAUGGGUAAUUCAGAAGGGAAGAAUUUAUUGGAGUCAAGUUGACCUUGGCUGGGAGUGAACUCAGCGGGGCCUCACUACUUCAUGGACUAGGACUUAAGUCUCUUGGUAGUAGCCAUUCACAGAAGAGCUAAACUCACCCAACUCAGUUAUCUGACAUGCCCAUUUGAGUCAAUAUAAAGCUUUGGUCAGAAUCCUAAGAUAAUACAAAGCCAAAUUAUGGAGGGGCAAGAAGCUUAUGCCACUUGUAGCCUGCUAAUACUGGGCAGAAAUGUCUGCUACAGACCCUUACACUGCAGGUGGCAUUACUGGUUUUCUGGAACCAGACUGGAGAAAGAAUGAAAUUAGCUUGCUCAACUGAAAGCAGUGCCCAGCUUUUCUGAUGUGUGGUUGCUGACCCCACCUGAAGUAAAGGUAACUCCAGAAAGCCCAGCCUUCUGGCCACACUUGCCCAGAAAUAAAAGAGGGUGUGGGAUCCCCACAGCCAGGAGGCUCCACUGCGGGAAGUUCUGCCUGUGAACUGGCCAGUGAGGUGACUGCCACAGCUGCUGCUCACAGCAAAAGUCUUCCCCCCUGGAGCAGUGAGCAUUCUGCAUCCAGAACUUGUAGGGCAAACCAAACACACACACCCUACACCACCCCAGCUUCCCUCUGAGUGCUUCCCUGGCUCAUUCCUGCAUCUCCCUCCCUCCCAAAGCCCCAGAAACUAACCCCACAGCUUUAUCCAGCCCUGCUGAGUUGGGCGGGAGAGGUGAGAAGUGAUGAUUGGUUGCCUCCAUCUCAUCCAGGGAGCAGGGACACUCGAUGGGACCCUGAUAAGGAAUAUCAUCUCUAGGAGUGACAUUGACUUGAAUCUUAUCAAGUGUCAGUUCAGUAAGAUGUAUGGCAAAACCCUCAGCAGCAUGAUCACGGAUGACACCAGUGGUGACUACAAGAACGCCCUCCCUGAACCUGGUGGGAAGUGACCCAUGAAGUCACUGAAGAAUGAGAGCCAAGACCAAGAAGCAGGGGUCUCCAGGCCCUGCCCCCAUGACCUUGGCCAUGGGUGGGGGUUGAGGGGCCCUCAGCCAGCUUCCAGUCUUUAUCUCCUAGUGCUUUCUGGCCAACAUUUCUGACCCAGAGGAUGACACCAGCCCCAGCUCCUCCUUCCAUCUUCUCUCCCAGAUCAUCUCUAGGUCAUGCACAAAGACUUUAGCAAAGCUCUUGCUGGACAAAUAUGUCAGCCUACAGGGGCUCAUGGGUCAUUUCUUCCUCCUAGACAGAGCCUGCCUGAGCUUAACUGGUCACAGAAUUACCUGGGCAUAGGUUAUGCAGAUACCUUGGCCCAGUCCCAUCUACAGAAUCAAGGGUCCCCCAGGAGGACUAGGGAACAUAGAUCUCUAACAAGUGUCUCAGUCAUUUGCUUCCUUAUCACCCACCAGCCAGAGGGCCCUAAGAGCCCUUUUGUAGUAGAGCACAGGCCCCUGAAUUGCUGAGAAAGGGAUGCAUAUCCAUGUCAAUUGGGAUGCCACCAGUCUCCUUGAAAAAGUCAGACUCUGACAUCCUCACACUAUCCUGAUGACAGAGUAAUUGGACUACAGAGCAAUGUCCUGACCCAAGGGCUCUAUGUCCUAGAAGCUCAGGCUUCCUGGUUGUUCAGCAGUUCUGCUCUGUCCUCUGUGACACAGCAUGCAGCACAGGGGAUGACAACCCUGAGCAUGACUCAUCCCGACCCAAGGCCACCAAGCCUGGAGACCUGCAGAGGCCUCAUUUUCAUCUUCCUAGAUAUUUUCUGGGCUUUCAGAAUAAUAAACAUCUGCAUAUUCAGAAAGGGUCUUUGGAUUUGUACCAGUGACCAGAGCAAGGCCAGUUUCAUUGGCCAGAAGCAGAGUUUCAGAGCUACCCAACCUGAGCACACUUGUGGGCAUCCUCUGAGGGACCGCUGGGUGGUCACUGGUACCACUGGUGGGUACCACUGGUGGGUACCAGUGGUGGAUGCUCACUGUUGCCCCAGGCAUGACACUUGUAGAUGAGGAUAGUUUCUUUUAACAUCUAUUUUGUACUCUAAAUUCUGACAUCUCUGGGUUGGAAGGGGCUUUUAAAUGUCACCUGGUUUCUUCCUACUGCACCUUGACUGCCCUCCAAGGCACAUGCUCCACAUCAUCCUUGGUGCACGUGGUCUGUACUUGUUGUACAUGGGGUGUACUUGGCUGCUUCCAGUGACAGGAACUCACAGCUUCCUUGGGUGGCCCAGUCUUUUCCCAAAAAGUGAUUCACAGUGUUCACCCUUAACUGAGCCAAAAUCUACCCUCUUGUGUCCACUGCAGUCUGUCAUCUAGGGCUACAACAUUUGUCCUUUCCCAAUAGCAACGUUUGGUAUCAUAAGCAGCCCACCUAUUCCACUAAAAUUUCUGCCAAAGUUAGAGGUCCCCAGUCCUUCCAACUGCCCCUCCUGGAACCUCAUCAGGGGCCAUGGGCUCUGCCUCUGAACAUGAUCCCGUUCAUAAACUCCAGGGUGUGGCCCCAGGAGUAAAGGGCACACCCUGGAAUUCAAGAUCAGGGGGAUGACACAGGGUGGGCUCUGAGCUCACACAGAUGGGAGGUGGAUCCUGGCUCUGCCCUGUGCUGGCUCCAUGACGCUGAGCUAACAUUCUCUCUCCCUCUCUCUCUCUCUCUCUCUCCCUCCCUCCCUCCC